This 446-nucleotide ribosomal RNA is filed under the name uncultured bacterium. RNAcentral describes it as "bacterial SSU rRNA". It matches the Rfam family "Bacterial small subunit ribosomal RNA", at positions 355 to 825 of the family's 1533-position model. The record is from RNAcentral.
UGGGGAAUAUUGGACAAUGGGCGCAAGCCUGAUCCAGCCAUGCCGCGUGAGUGACGAAGGUCUUCGGAUUGUAAAGCUCUUUUGGCGGGGACGAUAAUGACGGUACCCGCAGAAUAAGCCCCGGCUAACUUCGUGCCAGCAGCCGCGGUAAUACGAAGGGGGCUAGCGUUGUUCGGAAUUACUGGGCGUAAAGCGCACGUAGGCGGACUGAUAAGUCAGGGGUGAAAUCCCGGGGCUCAACCUCGGAACUGCCUUUGAUACUGUUAGUCUCGAGUCCGGAAGAGGUGAGUGGAAUUCCUAGUGUAGAGGUGAAAUUCGUAGAUAUUAGGAAGAACACCAGUGGCGAAGGCGGCUCACUGGUCCGGUACUGACGCUGAGGUGCGAAAGCGUGGGGAGCAAACAGGAUUAGAUACCCAGGUAGUCCUGAGCGGGCUGGCAAGGCGCAU